CCCUUAGAUGUUCUGGGCCGCACGCGCGCUACACUGAUGCAUUCAACGAGUUUCUUCCUGGUCCGAGAGGAAUGGGUAACCUUUUGAAAGUGCAUCGUGAUAGGGAUAGACUAUUGCAAUUAUUGGUCUUCAACGAGGAAUUCCUAGUAGACGUAGUUCAUCAGACUGCAACGAUUACGUCCCUGCCCUUUGUACACACCGCCCGUCGCUCCUACCGAUUGAAUGCUCAGGUGAGCCAUUCGGACUUUCAUCAUGCUGGUUUCCAGUUUUGAUGAAGGAAAGUCUUGCGAACCUUAUCAUUUAGAGGAAGGAGAAGUCGUAACA
This 324-nucleotide ribosomal RNA is filed under the name uncultured eukaryote. Its description in RNAcentral is "partial 18S ribosomal RNA". It matches the Rfam family "Eukaryotic small subunit ribosomal RNA", at positions 1470 to 1796 of the family's 1831-position model. The record is from RNAcentral.